GCAAGUCGAACGCGAAAGCCCUUCGGGGUGAGUAGAGUGGCGGACGGGUGAGUAACGCGUGGGAAUCUGCCCAGUAGUUGGGGAUAACUCGAGGAAACUCGAGCUAAUACCGAAUACGCCCUACGGGGGAAAGGCUUCGGCCGCUAUUGGAUGAGCCCGCGUCAGAUUAGCUUGUUGGUAGGGUAAUGGCCUACCAAGGCGACGAUCUGUAGCUGGUCUGAGAGGACGAAC
RNAcentral lists this ribosomal RNA (231 nucleotides) under uncultured bacterium. RNAcentral's name for it is "partial 16S ribosomal RNA". It matches the Rfam family "Bacterial small subunit ribosomal RNA", at positions 57 to 305 of the family's 1533-position model. The record is from RNAcentral.